GAUGAACGCUGGCGGCGUGCCUAAUACAUGCAAGUCGAGCGAACAGACGAGGAGCUUGCUCCUCUGACGUUAGCGGCGGACGGGUGAGUAACACGUGGAUAACCUACCUAUAAGACUGGGAUAACUUCGGGAAGCCGGAGCUAAUACCGGAUAAUAUAUUGAACCGCAUGGUUCAAUAGUGAAAGACGGGUUUGCUGUCACUUAUAGAUGGAUCCGCGCCGCAUUAGCUAGUUGGUAAGGUAACGGCUUACCAAGGCGACGAUGCGUAGCCGACCUGAGAGGGUGAUCGGCCACCCUGGAACGGAGACACGGUCCAGACUCCUGCGGGAGGCAGCAGUAGGGAAUCUUCCGCAAUGGGCGAAAGCCUGACGGAGCAACGCCGCGUGAGUGAUGAAGGUCUUCGGAUCGUAAAACUCUGUUAUUAGGGAAGAACAAAUGUGUAAGUAACUAUGCACGUCUUGACGGUACCUAAUCAGAAAGCCACGGCUAACUACGUG
Molecule: ribosomal RNA, 497 nt
Filed under: uncultured bacterium
Lineage: Bacteria
Description: partial 16S ribosomal RNA
Rfam family: Bacterial small subunit ribosomal RNA
Source: RNAcentral